RNAcentral lists this ribosomal RNA (467 nucleotides) under uncultured bacterium. Its description in RNAcentral is "partial 16S ribosomal RNA". It matches the Rfam family "Bacterial small subunit ribosomal RNA", at positions 28 to 506 of the family's 1533-position model. The record is from RNAcentral.
GACGAACGCUGGCGGCGUGCUUAACACAUGCAAGUCGAACGGAAAGGCCCUGCUUUUGUGGGGUGCUCGAGUGGCGAACGGGUGAGUAACACGUGAGUAACCUGCCCUUGACUUUGGGAUAACUUCAGGAAACUGGGGCUAAUACCGGAUAGGAGCUCCUGCUGCAUGGUGGGGGUUGGAAAGUUUCGGCGGUUGGGGAUGGACUCGCGGCUUAUCAGCUUGUUGGUGGGGUAGUGGCUUACCAAGGCUUUGACGGGUAGCCGGCCUGAGAGGGUGACCGGCAACAUUGGGACGGAGAUACGGCCCAGACUCAUACGGGAGGAAGCAGUGGGGAAUAUUGCAAAAUGGGCGGAAGCCUGAUGCAGCAACGCCGCGUGCGGGAUGACGGCCUUCGGGUUGUAAACAGCUUUCGCCUGUGACGAAGCGUGAGUGACGGUAAUGGGUAAAGAAGCACCGGCUAACUACGU